RNAcentral lists this ribosomal RNA (1050 nucleotides) under uncultured bacterium. Its description in RNAcentral is "bacterial SSU rRNA". It matches the Rfam family "Bacterial small subunit ribosomal RNA", at positions 8 to 1064 of the family's 1533-position model. The record is from RNAcentral.
AGAGUUUGAUCCUGGCUCAGGGUGAACGCUGGCGGCGCGCUUAAUGCAUGCAAGUCGAGCGUGAUCGUGGCUUCGGCCACAAUGAUAAAGCGGCAGACGGCUGAGUAACGCGUGAGUAAUCUGCCCUCCGGUGGGGUAUAACCUCGGGAAACUGAGGAUAAUCCCGCAUACGACCUGCAUCCCUUGGGGUGCAGAUGAAAGGCUUCGGUCGCCGGAGGAGGAGCUCGCGUCCUAUCAGGUUGUUGGUGGGGUAAUGGCCUACCAAGCCGAUGACGGGUAGCUGGUCUGAGAGGAUGACCAGCCAGAGGGGGACUGAGAACGGCCCCCACUCCUACGGGAGGCAGCAGCAGGGAAUCUUGGGCAAUGGGCGAAAGCCUGACCCAGCGACGUCGCGUGGGGGACGAAGGCCUUCGGGUUGUAAACCCCUUUUCCGAGGGAAGAGAAAGGACGGUACCUCGGGAAUAAGCCCCGGCUAACUACGUGCCAGCAGCCGCGGUAAUACGUAGGGGGCAAGCGUUACCCGGAAUCACUGGGCGUAAAGUGCGCGUAGGCGGUUGGAUAAGUCUCUUGUGAAAGCUCCCGGCUCAACUGGGAGAGGUCAAGGGAUACUAUUUGACUAGAGGACAGCAGAGGUAAGCAGAAUUCCCGGUGUAGCGGUGGAAUGCGUAGAUAUCGGGAGGAACACCAGUGGCGAAAGCGGCUUACUGGGCUGUAUCUGACGCUGAGGCGCGAGAGCGUGGGGAGCAAACUGGAUUAGAUACCCAGGUAGUCCACGCCCUAAACGAUGGAUACUAGGUAUGGGGGGUAUUGACCCCCUCCGUGCCGUAGCUAACGCGUUAAGUAUCCCGCCUGGGGACUACGGCCGCAAGGCUAAAACUCAAAGGAAUUGACGGGGGCCCGCACAAGCGGUGGAGCGUGUGGUUUAAUUCGAUGCUAAGCGAAGAACCUUACCUGGGCUUGACAUGUUGGUAGUAGGAACCCGAAAGGGUGACGACCUCGGGGUAACUCGGGGAGCCUUCACAGGUGCUGCAUGGCUGUCGUCAGCUCGUG